AUAUCUUUCUCGGUCUUUUGGCUAAGAUAAUGUGCAAUAUCUGCAUUUAAUAUUAGGUGUGCGGGUCAUAUGUCUACUUUAAUUUUUAUGUUCAUUUUUUUGUGAGGAGGAUCCUUUUUAUUUUAAAUUUAUUUUUUGUAUGGAGGGUCCAUCGCACUGGUUUACCACUGGGCCCUCGCGUGUCGUACAGUCGUUGCACUAUACCAUUAAAUAUGAUUGGUGUACGGUCC
RNAcentral lists this small nuclear RNA (230 nucleotides) under Zea mays. RNAcentral describes it as "U2 spliceosomal RNA". It matches the Rfam family "U2 spliceosomal RNA". Rfam says of the family: U2 is a small nuclear RNA (snRNA) component of the spliceosome (involved in pre-mRNA splicing). Complementary binding between U2 snRNA (in an area lying towards the 5' end but 3' to hairpin I) and the branchpoint sequence (BPS) of the intron results the bulging out of an unpaired adenosine, on the BPS, which initiates a nucleophilic attack at the intronic 5' splice site, thus starting the first of two transesterification reactions that mediate splicing. The record is from Rfam by way of RNAcentral. Lineage: Eukaryota; Viridiplantae; Streptophyta; Magnoliopsida; Poales; Poaceae.